Molecule: ribosomal RNA, 376 nt
Filed under: uncultured organism
Description: partial 16S ribosomal RNA
Rfam family: Bacterial small subunit ribosomal RNA
Source: RNAcentral
GUAGGUGGCAAGCGUUGUCCGGGAAUUAUUGGGGCGUAAAGCGCGCGCAGGCGGUUCUUUAAGUCUGAUGUGAAAGCCCACGGGCUCAACCGUGGAGGGUCAUUGGAAACCGGAGAACUUGAGUACAGAAGAGGAAAGCGGAAUUCCACGUGUAGCGGUGAAAUGCGUAGAGAUGUGGAGGAAGACCAGUGGCGAAGGCGGCUUUCUGGUCUGUAACUGACGCUGAGGCGCGAAAGCGUGGGGAGCAAACAGGAUUAGAUACCCUGGUAGUCCACGCCGUAAACGAUGAGUGCUAAGUGUUAGGGGGUUUCCGCCCCUUAGUGCUGCAGCUAACGCAUUAAGCACUCCGCCUGGGGAGUACGGCCGCAAAGGCUGA